AAGCCAUUCCAGUCGGGCCUCAAACCAGAGAUAUCCCAGCAGCCAUUCCAGUCGGGCCUCAAACCAGAGAUAUCCCAGCAGCCAUUCCAGUCGGGCCUCAAACCAGAGAUAUCCCAGCAGCCAUUCCAGUCGGGCCUCAAACCAGAGAUAUCCCAGCAGCCAUUCCAGUUGGGCCUCAAACCAGAGAUAUCCCAGCAGCCAUUCCAGUCUCAGCCAUGUUCCGCACUGGUCCGGCCCAGAUUUUGAGCCCAGCAGCUGAUGGACCUUUGCACCAGGUGGAUCCAGCCCGUAACAAACUCUAUAGAUCAGGCAAUAGAGACUGCAGUUGAGGCCCCCCCCACUGUUGGGCCCAAAGACCCCAAACUACUGCCCUCCCGCUAGCUGUACAACUAUUGGGAAAUUACCUUUUGGAACUUGGUCCUGGCAAAACCCUGCAGCAGUCGGACACAGAACCAGCGUCUUCCCUCCAGCGACAGCCGUCACCCCCAACUACUGCCCAGUCUCCCCUACAGAAAGGGGGUUCCUGCAUGUUAAAGGGCCAAGGACAGGGGCAAUGCAACUGGUUAACCCACAGAGCAGUAGGUUCCCGCCGGGGCCGUGCCACCAUGCCAAGAUGACUGUUGCAUUGUGGUCUAUCUGGCCUAUCACGGUUACAGACCCGGCUCGUAUAAUGGUGAAAGAGAAAUGAACCAGAGAAAGAAGGAAUGAGUGGAGGCAGCAGGAGAAAUGACGGCACCUAAAUCUAUUCCCUAGUAAAUCCAGUUCUUCACGGUGUAAUCUCCAUGAGUUCUAAAAUAUGACUGGGAAACCAACGAGCCAGAGGGCAGAGCUCUCCCCCAUCUGGAACUGACACAGCGCCCAAGAGUUCAGCUUUGCACAGACUGAAAAAUAUUCCUAAUAUACAGCUCUGCGGCCAGACCUCACCCCCCCGGGGGCUUUUCAUUUUCAUAAGGCUCAGUGGUUAUGAGAGUCCUGCCAGACUACUUUUCAGGUAUAAAGGGCAAGUUACAAUGAUACUGUCGGCUGAAGGAAACAAGACUACUAUGGGAUCCCUUAUCCAGAAACCCGUUAUCCAGAAAGCCCGUCUCCCAU
Xenopus tropicalis (tropical clawed frog) is the source of this 1092-nucleotide long non-coding RNA. RefSeq lists it as uncharacterized. The record is from RefSeq and is a predicted model, not a curated record. The transcript is spliced from 3 exons. Lineage: Eukaryota; Metazoa; Chordata; Amphibia; Anura; Pipidae.